Molecule: transfer RNA, 104 nt
Filed under: Stenotrophomonas maltophilia
Lineage: Bacteria; Pseudomonadati; Pseudomonadota; Gammaproteobacteria; Lysobacterales; Lysobacteraceae
Also listed under: 1 other name
Description: tRNA-Ser
Source: RNAcentral
GACCCAAGCUGGUCCCAUCCAGCUUGCAAGUCGUUGAUUGAAGGCACAGUGGAAGCCCCCUCCUAAGGGGAAGGUCGCCCGUUCGAAUCGGGCCGGGGUCACCA